Molecule: long non-coding RNA, 220 nt
Filed under: Gossypium barbadense (sea-island cotton)
Lineage: Eukaryota; Viridiplantae; Streptophyta; Magnoliopsida; Malvales; Malvaceae
Description: long non-coding RNA (GBAR_LNC007422)
Source: RNAcentral
CAUAGCCUGCUAGGUUUUAAAAAAAAAUCCGAAUCCAGUUACCAGUACCAAGCCUGCGGGACUUUAAGCCCGGAUAUAUCAUCUUAGUUAAUUCACAAGUUGUAUACACAUCAAUUCACAUACCUUCGAUUUUUCCAACACGGAAACACAUUAAUAAGGUAUCACUUCAUUCGAACUUAUUCGUAUCUCAAUAUAGCUAGUCUCAUUUCACAAGAGCCAU